CCUACGGGAGGCAGCAGUGGGGAAUAUUGCUCAAUGGGGGCAACCCUGAUGCAGCGACGUCGCGUGGGUGAGGAAGUACUUCGGUAUGUUAAGCCCUAUCAGCAGGGAAGAAAAUGCCGCUACCUGUCUCAGAAGCCCCGGCUAACUACGUGGCAGCAGCCGCGGUAAUACGUAGGGGGCAAGCGUUAUCCGGAUGUACUGGGUGUAAAGGGAGCGUAGUCGGGGUGCCAAGUCUGGUGGGAAAGGCCGGGGCUCAACCCCGGGACUGCAUUGGAAACUGGCAUGCUGGAGUGCCGGAGGGGCAAGCGGAAUUCCUGGUGUAGCGGUGAAAUGCGUAGAUAUUAGGAGGAACACCGAUGGCGAAGGCAGCUUGCUGGACGGUAACUGACGUUGAGGCACGAAAGCGUGGGGAGCGAACAGGAUUAGAUACCCCGGUAGUC
RNAcentral lists this ribosomal RNA (440 nucleotides) under uncultured bacterium. Its description in RNAcentral is "partial 16S ribosomal RNA". It matches the Rfam family "Bacterial small subunit ribosomal RNA", at positions 338 to 795 of the family's 1533-position model. The record is from RNAcentral.